Non-coding RNA from Oryctolagus cuniculus (rabbit), 822 nucleotides. NCBI's taxonomy places the organism in Eukaryota, Metazoa, Chordata, Mammalia, Lagomorpha, Leporidae. The record is from RefSeq and is a predicted model, not a curated record.
GCUUCCCCUCUCUAUGACAUCAUGCAGUCCUCCAACAUGACUUUGGCCACACUCUCUGGUGAGGCCAUCACAAAGCCUGGCCUAGGACACAGGGGAGGGGACACAGGCUCUGCCUCUUUUUGGGAGAACAGUGUAGAUCUGAGAAUGCAUGUUUGGAAAAGUGAUCUACAAACAGAAGGAGAGUGGAGUCACAUGUGCCAUGCAAUGAGUCACUGAAGAAAUGAAAUACACAAGGCUAACUAACUUCCCAGAUGAUUCAAGACCAGCUCCACUGUAUUGGAGAGUGUGGGGUUGGGUCUGACCUCCCUGGAACAAGAUGACUGUGCUGGUCAUGAAUGAACCCUGCCUGGCUGGAAAUAGCUGCAGACACAGCUUUCCCUUCCAGGCCAGGGACUUAAUUGUUCCUGCUCUUGCACCUCAAACUACUCUACAGUAGCAAACCAAGAGUGGGCUUUCAUCAUUCUUCUUCCAUCUUCUGCAACAUUUCUGUGUGGACAAGAAACAUAGGCCAAUCUCCUCCCAGCUAGGGAGGCAUCUGAAUGGAAAACAAAAGCCUCUGUUCCCAAGACAAGAUAAAGGAAAUUGUACUUUUGUGGAGAAACCUGAAAGAAACCUUCUUUGAGUUUCUGCUACUUUUAUGCAAAUGAGGAUCCUAAGAAUGCACAUUGUGAUCUCAGGUUGGUCAUUGAUUAUCAUCACACCUAUUCAGAACUCUGGCUACAUUUGAAGGCAUUGAAGACAACUCAGUGUUUGUCUUAGGAUAACCUGAUGGAGGUAUGUGAUAAAUUAAUAGAAAAUCAUAUCUGGAACCACAAGAAUAAA